This 667-nucleotide ribosomal RNA is filed under the name Clostridioides sp. ZZV14-5902. Its description in RNAcentral is "partial 23S ribosomal RNA". It matches the Rfam family "Bacterial large subunit ribosomal RNA", at positions 740 to 1415 of the family's 2925-position model. The record is from RNAcentral. Lineage: Bacteria; Bacillati; Bacillota; Clostridia; Peptostreptococcales; Peptostreptococcaceae.
GCAGGAUGAAGCGAAAGUAAAAUUUCGUGGAGGUCCGAACCCACGAGCGUUGAAAAGCUCGGGGAUGACUUGUGGGUAGCGGUGAAAUUCCAAUCGAGCCCGGAGAUAGCUGGUUCUCCCCGAAAUAGCUUUAGGGCUAGCCUCAAGGUGAGAGAUACGGAGGUAGAGCACUGAAUGUCCUAGGGGGUAUUGCACCUACCGAAGACUAUCAAACUCCGAAUGCCGUCAUCUUAUACUUGGGAGUCAGACUGUGGGUGAUAAGAUUCAUAGUCGAAAGGGCAACAGCCCAGAUCGUCAGCUAAGGUCCCUAAAUGUAAGUUAAGUGGUAAAGGAUGUGGGAUUGCACAGACAACCAGGAUGUUGGCUUAGAAGCAGCCACUCAUUCAAAGAGUGCGUAAUAGCUCACUGGUCGAGUGAUCCUGCGCCGAAGAUUUCCGGGGCUAAAACUUACUACCGAAGCUACGGCAUCAGUAAUGAUGGGUAGGGGAGCUUCCCAUACGGGUUGAAGCAUGACCGUAAGGACAUGUGGACAGUAUGGGAGUGAGAAUGUUGGCAUGAGUAGCGAGAUGUGGGUGAGAAUCCCACAGGCCGUAAACCCAAGGUUUCCAGGGGAAGGUUCGUCCGCCCUGGGUUAGUCGGGACCUAAGCUGAGGCCGAAAGGCGUAGG